AUCCAGUCGAAGAGCCUCAAAUAGGACGAAACGCACUUCCUGGAU
This 45-nucleotide non-coding RNA is filed under the name Schistosoma curassoni. Lineage: Eukaryota; Metazoa; Platyhelminthes; Trematoda; Strigeidida; Schistosomatidae. The record is from RNAcentral.